ACGGCCAUACCAUGCUGAAUAUACCGGUUCUCGUUAGAUCACCGAAGUCAAGCAUCAUUGGGCGCGGUCAAUACUUGGGUAGGUGACACCUGGGAACACCGCAUGCCG
This 108-nucleotide ribosomal RNA is filed under the name Caerostris extrusa. Lineage: Eukaryota; Metazoa; Arthropoda; Arachnida; Araneae; Araneidae. The record is from RNAcentral.